Molecule: long non-coding RNA, 837 nt
Organism: Phacochoerus africanus (Common warthog)
Lineage: Eukaryota; Metazoa; Chordata; Mammalia; Artiodactyla; Suidae
Exons: 6
Source: RefSeq, a predicted model, not a curated record
AACUUCCCAUGGGGUGCGUGGGUUACCUUCUCUUCCUGGCUAUUGCUCUGGUCAGUGCCCAGUGCCUGAGAGCUUGCAAGCACAGGAGGACCAGCCCUGCCCUGGGGCCAGGUAUGCCACCUGGUGUAAGAGAGGAAAAACCUCCUAGUCCAGCUCAGAGCCAGCCCUGAUAAAUCCCAGUGCCAACGCUGGUGACAGGAAUUUCUGCUUCUGAUUAAGACGGAGUAACACAGACUGGAUUUACCCUUCCAUCGGAAAUAACACCAAAAGGCAAAAAGCAAAAUGUGGCCUUCAAGACAUUGCUCAUGAGGCAACGAUAAGCAGUGAUCCCUGAGAGACGGGAAGAAAAACAAGGCAUCACUUCCCAGCGAGUAUUUGUACUUCUUACUCCAUCACAGUGUGUGCUUCCUGAAGGACAAACGCUGGCACAGGAGGUGCUGCCACCGGAGCUUCGCUGUUCUGCGAUCCAACAUCCGUGUUGUUGCCAAGGAGACGGGUUCUACAGUACCUUCUCCUCCCGUCAAUCCAAGCCGACAGAGGACGGCCACUGUUGGGCUCUUCAGUGAUGCUACUGCCUUCCCUAGUCAUCUCAUGCUGAGAUGUGAACUUAGUUUGGGGUCUGGUGGUGAGGAGAGGAGGUAUCUCAUUCUCAAAACCUGCACUUCUUUCUAGUCUGGAGCAGUGGAGAAUGCUGGGUCUCAAGACAGGUGAUGCCUUCAAGGAAAAUGCACCCAGGUAAGAAAAGGACCUGAGGAUCGGAAACUUGCUUUGGGCCUCGAGGCUGGUUUGUGGCAAUCCUGUUUGAUCAAUCUACUGUUGCCAUUUUCCCAACAGCAU